This is a long non-coding RNA of Bombus huntii, 4556 nucleotides long. RefSeq lists it as uncharacterized. The transcript is spliced from 3 exons. The record is from RefSeq and is a predicted model, not a curated record. NCBI's taxonomy places the organism in Eukaryota, Metazoa, Arthropoda, Insecta, Hymenoptera, Apidae.
ACGAACUCGGUACCUUCGAACGAUAAUUUAGAACUUGCACGUAGGACGCGAUGCAGAUUAUUAGAAAAACGACCGGUCGGUGGAAAUCUUGUAUUCGCGUAAGAUGGAAAAGUGCAGGUCAAGUAAGAAUUGUACGAAAGGAAAACGAUAGAAAUAGAAUGUACGAUGAUGUUGAUCUACACGCGGAAGAAAUUCGCGAUGAAUUAAAUUAAAAGAUGCGAGAAACUCGUCUAACGAAAUAACAGAUACAAGAGAAAAUGUAAAUGAUCAGGUGGUGACGACAAUAUACGUGAAAGGUGGUUUUGCUUGCACGCGUUUUAUGGCCAGCGUAUAAAUUGAAAAGCCGGCUUGGCGUAUGUAUAUGCGAAUUUUCUCUAUGGAAAUGCGUAUUUCGUUGAAAAACGCGUUUCCUCUUUAUUCCGUUGAAUCGUUUUGUCCGUCGUAGGGCGAAAAAUAGAAGCUCGACAGAGUGUCGCUUUCGGACAUUCGUCGCAUCCCGUUUGUGGUUAGACGUCGCAUGGUCGGAAAUGACAAGCUGGCAACGGUUUCCCCCGUGUUUCCGGAUAUUUGCGAAGCUUUUAGCUUUACCGUGACGAAACGAUUCCGCCGAGCAAAAGCAAGGGGAUACGAGGGCUAACUUUCAGCGGAUGCGUUUUUGUAAACUGUGCAAACUGAAAGCGAUCAAGAAUCAAGAGUUCGAUUGCGAGUAGAUGGCAAACUAUUCCAGUUACCUCUGUAAUUCUUUCGGUGGAUACGGACCAACCAUGUGUUUAUUUUUCAGGAUUCCAGUAUUUCAUUUAUUUUAAACUAGCUCGGUACCUUUAUACUAUUUUUUUAUACCACUAGUAAAUGGUAGUUUCGUCCUAUCCCGGUUAUAAAUUUCCUUGCUCUAUCGUGCAUGGACAGUUAACAGAAUUUUUUAAUCGGUUAUCUACGCUAUACGAUACCAAACGUUAUUGCAAGAAAAGACGAACGUUCUAUAGCGGCAUAUGCGUCUUAGGACGUUUCGAUACGAAGAUGCCUCACAUAGUUGUUUUGCCACGGAGGAUUAACACUGUACGACGCACAUAAUGUAAUAAACAAACUCUGGAUAAAGCAAUUUCGCUGCUACGUGCAACCUACAACCGGAGAGACAAUUUCAAACCUUUUGGUACCCCCCUCGACCAGUAUCGAUAGACGAUCAUGUCCUCCAGACACAGUCAGUCGCACGAAUCAAUAUCAGUCAGUCAGUCAAUCGAGCGAAUAAGUAUAACGAAUCUGUUUAACGAUUCAGCAUAAUAAUUAGUGUAGUAUCUUGGACAAAAGGCCUAAGAGAUAUCGAGUAAACUAUAGACAAUGUCGUGAGAGAAUGGCAAAAAUGGUCCAUCAACGUGUCGUCGCUCCUUCAAUUGAAUAAUUGCGUAGAAAAGGCCUGGCCACAUAUCUAUACUGAAUAUCUAUUACUGAAUUUGGAUAUUUCUUCUUUAAUUGUAGGUAUCUUAAGAUCGCGAUGUAUUGUUUCGUUGGUAACAUUCCAAGGUGCAUCUAUCAAGGAUCUUAGAGUUUUUGAUUGGAAUCGUUGAAGAAUUUCUAUGUUGGAAUUAUUCGCAGUUCCCCAUAGUUGGAUCCCAUAGGUCCAAACAGGUUUUAAUAUGACUUUAUAUGGCAUUAUUUUACUCUGCACGCUUAAGUUGGAAGCUGGAAAGACGACGUUAAGUUGUCAAGGACAGGUGGAAAAAUCAUCGAAUCUCAGACGUUCGACUCCCCAAGACAGAAAGACAGACCAUCGCUUCCGAUUCAUAGAAUCCAAAUCUAUUUCGGAUCCUAAGCAGCGUGGCAUUGUCGAGGCGAAGAAUGGCCAGGAAAGUCUAGUUUUAUUGCCGGUUUCUCGGGACCUCGAGACGGAACUAGCGGGCCGAACCGCUCCAGAUAAGAAGGAGUUUAUUAGAAGAGAGAAAACGGACUAAGGAUACAGCCAGCUCUCGUCUGCCAACCGGUGCGCUCGGUGAACCAGCAAAAGACCCUUAUCACGGGACGAAAAGCCGGUGAAUAAAUACAGUCUCACCGAGUUCCUGGCACCGUUGAACUUUCCGAUUCUCCGGAGCAUCGGGAGAAGCAUCAUCAGGAGGAAAAGCGGCUUUCUCGGAAGGAGAAGCAAGGAAAGAACGUUUAACUCGACUGUUUUCAACUUCUGCGAACGACUGGCCCGAUUCAACGAUUUGGUAAAUCGAACCUCUUUUUCACCUUUACCUUGGCUGGAUUUCGAUACCCGGCCGCGGUGUUGGUAACGCGAGCAAAAGGAACCAAGAUACUAUCGUUGCUGGCAAUACAGGAUGUCUGAGACAGUUGGUAGCAAAGUUGAGAAGCACGUAGUACUUGUUAAACUGAGUGAAAAUGUCUUGGUAAACACGCGGACAUGUAAAUAUUAUUAGUUUUGCAAUUACGAGAUGUUAACGAAGUUUUGAACGAUAAGAUGCUCAGCAGUGACACACGCCUAACGACACACGAGACUUUGUUGCGUCAACUGUCUAUAAGUUAUCGACCGCUGUGUACACGACACCUGUAAACGUGAACGUAUCACGCGAAGCAAUUUGCAAUUUCAUUAGCGCUGCUGUUACGAUUAUAUUGCCAAAGUUCAAUUCGAUUCGAUAAAUUCGCGAAAGCUGCAAGAAGAUCUUCUGCGAGUAUCCGGAAAGAUCGGGACAAAACUUAUACCACGCGUUAGUGAGGUCGAGUAAAGUAAAAAGAACGGUCGUACAAACUCGUGUCUGAAAAUGCUCUAUUGAAAAGUUAUAAGCGUUCAAAGAUUUCCGGUAGAGUUGUCCUUAAGACUCGUACAGAAUCGCAGACAGAUGCAAAUGCACUCGAUACUAUGCAUUUCUACGACAGCAGGAAUAUUCGAAAGAGUUCGACAAUCGUUAGUUGGACGAAUAGAAGCCUGGAUUUUCGCAGAAGGAAGGAAUUUCGAACGUUUAUUACGAUCGCCAAACCGAUACAAGUUUUUCAACGAUUUUACAACUUGUCGAUACAACGUUUUCGGAUGUAAGCUUGUGCGAACUUCCCUCUACCUACUUGACCUCGUUAACACGCAGUACAACUUUUGUCGCGACCUUUUCUGACACCCUGUAUAUUCGGCAAUACAGCUAGCACAGUAACUUGUACAUACAUUUUCGGAUCAGUUACAAAUUUUGCAAAUAUCGUAAAUAACGCGUUCAUAGAAGCUUGACAAGCUUUUCGGUGUUUUUAAUUUUCCAAUUAUAAGACGGACGAAGAAGCGUCUUCUAAAUUGCUAGAUACUUAAAUAGUAGACAGUAAAGUGUAUUGUUGUAGUAUCGGCGGAAAACCCCGAGUAAUUAACGCUAGAAUUACCGAUAGUUAACACGAAACUAUUUCUACCAAAACCAGUGAAAAUGACGGGUCUUUAAAAAAUACGUAAUAAUAGAAUAUUGUUAUAUUUAUUGAUUUAUUACUUUCUCACAGAAGCAAUUCCAUGUUAUGUAGUACAUUGUUGGUAUUAUUAAUCCAUCCGGGACUAUAUGAUCCGUAAAAGAGGGUUGACACAUUUAUAAAAUUGUAGAACCAGUCAUUUUGACUGCUGUGAUAUUUCUAGUAUUAGCAUCUAGCGAUCUAGCGAUCGAUCCGGAAUUUGAUAUCGUCAUAUUGAAUGAUACGCGGUAAAAAUGUUAAAAACGUGUGGAAAGUUGUACAAAACGAGGAAAUUGGUUAAUUGGGGUUCGAUAAACAGAUUCCAGGAUCCUUUUACACUUUGACAAGCACCAGUCGUUUUGACUGGUAUUGGUAUAAGUAGCCUUGAUACAAAAUUACUUUGAGUUUGAAUACAUAAAAAACAAAAUAAAAUUCAUUAUAUUGUAGUAUCAUGGACGAGGGGCCUGGAACGGUUGGGGUUAGGUUACGACAAAAGGGGUUGCUAAGUGAUAAACGAAUUAACAGCAGUAUGAGUUGAGAAGCCAGAUUGCGUUGUCGAGAUAGUGUUGUUGGCGUUGUUGAGAGAGAGUUGAAUCUGUGGUGACGAGACUUGUUAACUAAUUAUCUAGAUGUUUUAAUUAUAAUACGUUGUUGCGAUUAGUUCAUGUUAAAUAACCAUCGUUUUCUGUUUAAUUAACAUCUGUUUAAUCCAUUUAUUAUUAAUAGACUAAUUAUAAUAAUUUACGAUACUACAAUAUUAUUCUUUUAGUUAUCGUUGCGAAAGUCAUUACAUCAUUGCGGAAAAAGAUAUAACAUGAAGUAAGAAUCUUAAAAUAAAAUUGUAAAACCAGUCAAUUUGACUGGUCUCGGCUAAAAAAUUCUACCAAAUGUCCAAACUGGACAAAUUGUGAAUGUAAAGAAUUAAAUAAAAAGAAAAAUUUGACUGGUGAUAGUUCCAGUGUUAAGAAGGUUUAUUUUAAGUAAUAUUUACUUAUUUACAACACUUGCUUAUAAAUUAUACUUAUCUAUAAUAAGUAUUAACUUAUUAUAAAUAUUUAGCCAUGUCACUGCGCCACGCCAGAAAAAAUUACUGAAAAUUCUCAAUGCGAGAAUUGAUUGUAAAUAAUAAUAAAUAAAAAAAAAAAAAAGAA